This 37656-nucleotide long non-coding RNA is filed under the name Citrus x clementina. RNAcentral's name for it is "Citrus clementina (C. clementina) long non-coding RNA (CCLE_LNC002342)". The record is from RNAcentral. Lineage: Eukaryota; Viridiplantae; Streptophyta; Magnoliopsida; Sapindales; Rutaceae.
AUAGAAAAUAUAAUCGGGUCAUUGAUCGGGUAAAUGGGUCAAGAAUUUUAACUCUAACCCGACACGGAAAAAAAUCGUGUUGACCCGGACCCGACCCAUUUAAUAAUCGUGUUAAAUUUGACGACCCAUAUUCAUUUAUUUAUGUCGUGUUCGUGUCGAGUAAUCGGGUCGUGUCAAAUUUUGCCAGCUCUAGUAAUAGGAAUUAUUAAGGGACAAGAGCGCAAAACAAAAACUCUGUCCACUACUGAUGAUAUAACAACGAACCUUUGUUUUUUUCUUCUUUUUUUUUUACAAAAUAUCAUUAGAGAAAUGAAAAUAUUAACUAACAUCACCCUACUGAUGAUAUAACAACGAACCUUUGUAGUUUCUGCCUGUUAAUAUGAAUUGAUCAGGAGUGUUUCCUCACUUAAAAAUUACGAAUUUACAAAUAUGUAUGUAAGUAUGUAUGUAUGUACGUACGUACGUGAGUAUGUAUGUACAUAUAUGCAUACACCUAUGUAACAUUUACUUAUCCAUCCUUUUGAGUUUAAAACUUAAUACACAUUUUCAUGAAAUUUUUAUUUUAUUAAGUAUACAACUACAGUAAUGUAUAUAUUUUUUAUAUAAGACAUGCCGUCAUAUUAUUCAUAAGUAAAACAAUGUGUUGUAAAUAGUUUAAUUAUUAAAUAUCAUACAAUAUCUUUCAACAACCGGCAAUAGACCUUUACCCAUUUUUCUUUUUCGACCAUUAGAUUCAUUCAGUUUACAUCCAACGGCAGUUUAGGAUGGAGACAAAAAGUGUGGUACGUUACCACAGUGGUAACAUUGGAUUGGGAUUGUAUGUCGUGUUUAAUUUGAAUUGGUUGAUUCCUCUAAUGAAUUAUUUUGAUAAAUUUAGUAGCAGUAUUUGGCGGCAAAAGUAUCAUUAAUUUUUGGAAAUAUGAUUAUGUUAUUAAUUAUUUUAGCAUUCUAAAAAGUCAAUGGUUAUGUUGGAAAUACUCUAAGGUAGAAUAGAGUACAAAUCACAGUCACACAUACAAAAUGAUAAAUAAUAAAAAAUAUAUUAUAUUUUUGAUCAUAUGAUUAUGAAGACGUAUUUUACCUUAAAGAAGUUCUAAUAAGCGAAUUCUUCUAAAACAAUAUAAAAUUUCUUUUUUAUCAUACUCAACCGCUUCAAACUUCUAAGAAGUAGAUAUACAAUGAGUGGAAUACUGAAUUGAGUGCGAGCUGCGGAUAAUAUAUAAAAUUGGGAUACAAGCUUCAAGGAAAGUGUAUUGCUAUUCAAAUGUAGAUUUCAAAUUAAGAAGAUAUGCCAGCAAAUUGUAUAAAAAUGUAUAAAUUGAUCAGUAACAUUAAUUCCAAAUGAUGAAAUGAGUUAUCUUGAUCAAAAGGUCAAGAACCUACCUUACUUCUCUUAGAGAUAACUUGCAUCAACCGUUGUGGUAUUGAUACUUGUCUUCAGCUAGUAAAAGACUAAAAGUGAAAGUUUCACAAUUGAAAUAAAGCUAAGGGAAGAUGCUAUGCUCCAUUUAUUAUUAUUAUUAUUGAUGUGGUCGAGAAGUAAAGCCAUGCAUAUGAUGAAGUAUAAAUAAGAAUGCAAUAGCCCGGAAUUCAUUUACACAAACACUUCAAUAUCCUUUUGAUCACUUUUGCAAACAUCAGUUUGUCUCUUGUAUUCACCAUGGUUGAUGCCAUCGUUUCCUCUCUUGUGGAGCAGCUGACUUCCUUCGCUGCUAAAGAGAUAAUACAACAGGUGAUCGAAGUUACACCCCCCAUAUUAUAAAUACUUCUAAUGAUUUUAAUUGGUUUUGUUUUUAUCGGAAACAUUAACUUUGCUUUAUUUUAUUUAUUUAGGCAUUUUAAAUUUUAAAAUUUGAAUUGAAUUCAAUUAAAAUGUGAUGUAGCUAGUAACCACUUUUUUUAUUUCAUUUAUAUUCUCAAUAACUACCCAUAUUUUGGUAACUUACUGUAACCCCCGUAUCUAAGAAAUGAUUAAAACCCACAAUUUUAACUCCACAUAAAUAUUCCAUGUUGAGCUAAGUUUUUGCAUAACAUUCAAGUUUGUUAAAUAGUCAUUAAUUUAAUGUUUAGUAAAAACUUAUCUCUGAAAAUUUUCAUAAUUUUCUUACAUUCUUUGAGUUUGGUGAGUGACUUCAUAUAAUUUCUUUUCAAUUUAAAUUUUAAUUUGGUUUCUGAUAUAGUCUCUUUACUGAAUUUAUAUCUUUUAUGAUUCUUGGAUUUUGGGCUCCAACUUUUUAGGAUUUGAUAGUCACAUUUUAUGGCAUGCUUAGAUUGAUUUUCAUGAUUUGAGUACUCGUUAAGUGACUGAGAAUUUGACAAAAGUUUGAAAGGAAAUCCGUUUCACGAUUCUUAUGUGGAAGGUUCGUAAAAUCAUGAAAUUUGGAUAGGAUUCGCUAGCAAUAUGUACAAGACUCUUCAUGAAGUUUCAUAAUUUUUCGUUCGGUCUGGGGUGGUACAGGUGAAACUUGUGGUUGGUGUUAAAGAAGAAGUGAAAAGCCUUAUCAGCCACCUUCAAGCCAUUCAAGCUGUGCUCGAUGAUGCAGAGGAAAAGCAAGUGAAGGACAAAGCUGUUAGACAUUGGCUGGGCAGGCUCAAGUAUGCAUCCUACGACAUUGAAGAUGUGUUGGAUGAGUGGAUCACAGCUAGACACAAAUUGCAAAUUGAGGGUGGCGUUGAUGACAAUGCUCUUGCUGCUCCUCAAAAGAAAAAGAAGGUAUGUUUCUGCUUUCCUGCCUCUUGUUUUGGAUUCAAACAAGAAGAAUUUGGUUUCAGACAAGUCUUUCUACGUUAUGACAUUGCCAACAAGAUCAAAGAAAUGAAUAAAGAGCUACAUGAUAUUGCCACUCAAAAAGACAUGUUUAAUCUUGUUAAGAGUGGCAAUAAAAGUGGUGAAAGACCAAGGCGUGUACAGAGUACCUCCUUGAUUGAUGAGGAAGAGAUUUGUGGUAGAGUUGGUGAGAAGAAUGAACUCAUAAGCAAGCUGUUGCGUGAGAGUAGCGAGCAACAAAAAGGCCUCCAUAUGAUCUCAAUUGUUGGUAUGGGAGGCAUAGGGAAAACUACUCUUGCACAACUAGCUUGUAAUGAUGACGUGGUGAAGAGAAAGUUCGACAAAAUUCUGUGGGUGUGUGUAUCAGAAACUUUUGAGGAGUUUAGGGUUGCCAAAGCAAUCGUUGAAGCUUUGGAUGGUCGUGAAUCUCAUUUAGGUGAAUUCCAAUCUCUUCUUAAACAUAUUGAUGAAUCCAUUGCAGGGAAGAGCUUUCUUCUUGUCUUAGAUGACGUGUGGGAUGGAAAUUACUUGAAAUGGGAACCAUUCUAUCGUUGUCUAAAGAAUGGUCUCCAUGGAAGUAAAAUUUUAGUUACCACACGUAGUGGGUCCGUUGCAUCCACGAUGGGAUCCAUAGAUAUUAUUCCCAUUGAGAAAUUAGCUGAAGAGGAAUGUUGGUUGUUGUUUAACAAGAUAGCAUUUUUUGGUAGGCCUAUCGAGGAACGUGAAAAAUUCGAACGAAUUGGGCGAAGAAUUGCUGGCAAGUGCAAAGGUUUACCUCUUGCAACAAAGACAAUAGGUAGUCUCAUGCGUUCUAAACAAACUGAAGAAGAGUGGAAAAGAAUUUUAAAUAGUGAUUUAUGGAAAGUAGAAGAGAUUGAGAAAGAUGUUUUGUCCUCUUUAUUGUUGAGUUACAAUGAUUUGCCAUCUAGAGUAAAAAGAUGUUUUUCAUAUUGUGCUCUCUUUCCAAAAGACUACGAUAUAGAAAAAGACAAACUAAUCACAUUGUGGAUGGCUCAAGGUUAUCUUAGUGCAGAAGAAGAUGAGGAGAUGGAGACUAUAGGUGAAGAGUAUUUUAGCAUCUUAGCUUCUCGCUCUUUCUUUCAAGAGUUUAAGAAAAGUUAUGAUAAUCGGAUUAUAGAGUGUAAGAUGCAUGAUAUGGUACAUGAUUUUGCCCGAUUUGUAAGUCAAAAUGAAUGUUUUUCGAUGGCAAUUAAUGGUAGUGAAGAACCAAACGCCACAAACUCUGUUGAUGAGAAGGUCCGUCAUUUAAUGUUAAUCUUUAGUAUAGAGGCUUCAUUACCUGUUUCCACUCCUAGAGUUAAAAGAAUGCGUACCCUCUUAAUUAACGAUAGUAGAUCUGAUCAAUCAUUAUUAAAUGGUGAGAUCCUAGAAGAAUUGUUUAGGGAAUUGACAAGUUUAAGGGCAUUAGAUUUUGACAAAUUGUACCACUCAAUUUGGUCUUCGACUCUGGAGAUUCCGAGAAACAUAGAAAAGCUGGUACAUUUAAGAUACCUUAAUUUGUCUUCUCAGAAAAUAGUGGAGCUACCGGAGACAUUGUGCGAGUUAUAUAAUCUAGAAAAGUUAGAUAUUAGUUUUUGUUUUGAUCUUAGAGAAUUACCUGAAGGGAUUGGGAAGUUAAUAAACAUGAAGCAUUUACUAAAUUAUGAUACUGAUUCUUUAAGGUACAUGCCAGUAGGGAUUGGGAGAUUAACGGGUCUUAGGACCUUGGAUGAGUUCCACGUGAGUGCAGGAGGAGCUGUUGAUGGUAGGAAAGCAUGUAGGCUUGAAUCUCUUAAAAACUUGGAACACCUUCAAGUAUGUGGUAUACGUAGACUGGGUGAUGUAUCAGAUGUGGGCGAGGCUAAGCGAUUAGAACUUGACAAAAAGAAAUACCUCUUCAGUUUGACCCUUGAGUUUGAUAAGAAGGAGGAAGAAGAAGGAGAAAGAAGGAAGAACGAGGACGAUCAACUUCUUCUUGAAGCCCUGCGACCACCUCUGGAUUUAAAGGAAUUAGAGAUACGGUUCUACCGAGGCAACACUGUUUUCCCCAGCUGGAUGACGUCAUUAACCAACUUAAAGAGUUUAAAACUCUCUUUCUGCGAAAAUUGCGAGCAGCUGCCUCCUUUGGGAAAAUUGCCGUCCCUUGAACAGCUCUUCAUAUCGUACAUGUCGAGUGUGAAAAGAGUGGGUGAUGAAUUUUUGGGGAUAGAAAGUGAUCAUCAUGGCUCAUCUUCAUCUUCAUCGGUUAUUAUUGCCUUCCCCAAAUUGAAAUCACUUUCAAUUGAGUUUCUGUGCGAAUUGGAGGAGUGGGAUUAUGGGAUUACAAGAACGGGAAACACCGUCAUCAACAUCAUGCCACGUCUUUCUUCCUUGACAAUUGCUCUUUGCCCCAAAUUAAAGGCACUGCCCGACCACAUUCAUCAAACGACAACAUUGAAGGAAUUGCACAUUUGGGAUUGCAGGCUUCUGGAAGAACGUUAUUGCAAGGGGGAAGGAGAAGACUGGCCUAAGAUAUCACACAUUCCCAACCUCCAUAUUGGGCAUUGACAAGUAAUUUCUUCUCUUACUCUGAUUUGCUUUGUUGUUGUUUUUAAUCUAAUUAAGAAGCGUAAAUAGCAUUUUGAAUCAAACUCUAUAUCAGAAAUCUGCAAUACUUACUUUCUAAUAUUCUGAUUUUCAUAUCCUAUGAAUAUACGAUUUUUAAUUUGUGAGAUGGGUAACGUUACUGUAAAAGAUUAUUAAUGCAAUAUGAGUAAUUCUUUUGCAGGACAAGUGACCUACAUUUAGUUUGGCUUUGGAGUUGAAUAAUAACCUUUCGGGAACUGGUGUGGACUGGCAAAGGAUGAUGAGAUAGUUUUUUGAGUGAGUAAAUUUUGGGAGCUUGAGUGUAUUGGGAUUUGCAAUUACAAUCAUCGUCUGCCUCAGGUGAUUUCUUCUCCUGCUCUGUCAUUGUUUGUUCUCUAAUUCAAAAGCAUAAAAUAUUUCAAUCAAUUUUUAUGCCAGGAAUAUGCAAAAGUUUCUAAUAUUUUAUUUCCAUCUGUCACAAGAUCAAACUGAAGCAGAACUCAAACAAAAGUAUGCUACUUCUUGCGGAAAUCUUGCCUUCGUUCAAAUUAUGAAACCAUUUCCAUGCAGCAAAUUCAUCCAAAAGUUUGAAUAAGUUUCAUGGUUGGACACUGUUGGCUUCUUUUUCUUCUGGGGUGCAUUUAGGUGCUAUCAAGUGACAGCUGUAAGUAUGAUUGCACUAAGCUGCUGCUGGGAAAUUUGAGGUUUUGAUGGCUGCCCAUGUUAUUUUCAAGAAACUAUUGAUGUAAGAAGCCGUGGUUCUUUUCAUCAGCUUGAACCUGAAACUGUCGCUAUGGAUAACUCAGGUUUUUGUUAUCAACUAUAUCAUCUUUUUCACUAUUUUGAAACUCUUAAGAUUAAACGUUAGUAAAGUUGUUUCAGCUAUUCAAAUGAAAAACUCAUUGAUUUGAGACUUCCUUCAUUAUUGUUUCUAAUUACAAUGCUAACGAUCCAGAUAAAAUAAUAUUUAAUCGGCGAAGGUGUCCCUUGGAAGUACAUCCUUCUUUUUCUUUUAUUAUAUAAAUUCUUGCAAUGAGCUUAGUCAAGAUGUUGUGCUAAUCAUGCCACUGCAUAUAAAUUCUCCAGAAGUUAAAAUCAAUAAAUUUUCUAUUAGCUCUAGUGCUUUGACCUAAAUGCUAUUCUAUAUUCUGAUUACAAUGUUUUAACCUUUAAAUUAACUACCCCUAGGUGUUGGAUUUUCUAGAACUUCAAAAUGAUUAAUGGAGAAAGAUCCCAUUAUCGUUAUUGCUAUAAGAAAUUGAUUUAUGCAUCCAAAGAUACAUUAUAUAUUUCUGUGUCUCUAUUUAUAGAUGACAUUUAAGCAUCCAUAAACCGUCAGACAGAGGAAGGGGGUUCAGUGCAAAGAUUCUGUUGACCUAGGGUUGACUGCAUAAUGUCACUUGUUCGCAAUCUAUUAUUUAUUUUAUAUUUUGAAGAAUUUAAUGGGUAAUCCUAAUUGUUUGUUUUGGCAGGUAUGUGUUGUUUUCUCCUUCUAUCUAACAGUCGUACCUAAAUAGCAUAGUUUCAUCUGUGUUACCAUGUGAUGUACAUAAUUUCACAUUUGCCUCAGAUUAAGCUUAAUUUCCCACAGAAUAGAGCUGUCGCGACUGGACUUAGGUUGAUGUCCAAAGAGGUAAAUUAUUGGCAUGCCUAGAUAAUUUGGCCAUUUCCUAAUUCAUAAGUCUACAUUAAUUUUGAUUUUGAGUUGACUGAUUUCUUUUCAAGGUCUGCUUCCUUAACGGAGUGACCAAUGUUUUUCAACUAAAUUUAUCAUAUGAUGCAGGAAGCAGGGCAGGAUAUGAAAUGAGAAGCUCAUUGGUGGAAGUAUUGCCAGUAACAGAACCCAAAGAAAAUGAAACUAUUUCAAGGCAGCAGUUGGCAGUUGCAAGUGAAUGGAGGCCCUGACAAAAUUCUCAAGCGGUUGCAAUGCAAUUACGAUCAUCCUCAGCCUCAGGUAAUUUCUUCUCCUGCUCUGUUUUUAUUUGUUAUCUAAUUAAAAAGCAUAAAGUAUCUUGAAUCACUUUCUCUAUCUGGAAUAUAUGCAGCAGUUUCUAAAAUCUUCAUAUGAGUGUAAUGAUGGUAAUUUCUGUUUUUUGUCUGUCAUUGAAUGUUAGACAACUUUCAGUGAGACUCUUGAACCGAGACAUUUUUGACAACUGAAGGACAAUUGCUGAAGAGUCGGAAUGGUGCUAGAUUGGGGAAUAAAGACAAAGGAGGUAAAUUAUUUGCAGUUUAUUCAGCAUUAUUUGCUUUGGACCAGCGCCUGAUUCACAAGUCUCCAUAAUUUGGCUUUUGACCAGUUAAUAAAUUUUUAAUUCCAUUGGUGCUAAAUGUACACGUGAAGCAGGCAGAGCAGGACUGUGGAAAUGAGAAGGUUUUUAGUGAAAGCUUAAACUCAGGUAAUUCUAAAAAGUACAUGUUUUUGCUGAUUUAUCUAAAUCAGGAAAUUUUAUUUCCAUCUGUUACAAGAUAAAACAGAAACAGAACACAAAGAAAAAUAUUCUACUUCUUGUGGCAAUCUUGCCUUCAUUCAGACAAUGAAACCAUUUCCUUUCACCAAUUUCUUCCAAAAGUUUGAAUAAGUUUCAUGGGUGGACCUAGUUAGCUUCUUUUUCUUUUGGUGCAUUUAGGUCCUAUCAAGUGACAGCCAUAAGUAUGAUUGCAUUAUUGGGAAAUUUUAGGUUUGGAUGGCUCCCCAUGUUAUUGCCAAGAAAGUCCUCAUGUCAGAAGCUGCGGUUCUUUUCAUCAGCCUGAACCCGAACCUGUCGUUAUGGAUAACUCAGGUUUUUGUCAUCAACUAUAUCAUCUUUUUUACUGUUUUGAAACUCUUAAGAUUAAACUUCAGUAAAGUUGUUUCAGUUAUCCAUGUAAUCAGGCUAAGGAUAUUUAGCAGCUUAUUUAGGCAACUGCCAGAAUUCAGUUUGUUAGCUCGAAACUUGUAUGGUGACAAGGAUACUGGCAAGGAUAGUGAGAUAGUUUUUUGUGUGAGUGAAAUUUGAAAGCUUGGGUGUUCUGGGAUUUGCAAUUGCAAUCAUCCUCUGAGUCAGGUGAUUUCUUCACCUGCUCUGUCUUGAUUUUCUCUCUAAUUGAAAGCAUAAAGUAUUUCAAUCAAAUUCUGUACCAGGAAUACGUAAAAGUUACUAAUAUUUUAUUUCCAUCUGUUUGCAUUGAUAACUCGGCGGCAUAUGUUCUAGUUAAAGAACAAACAGAAACAGAGUUCAGGAAAAAGUUUCUUCGGCCACCAUAUUUGAAAAUGAAACCAUUUCCAGGAAGCAGUUGGCAGCAAAUUCAUAUGGAGUGUAGACAAUGAUGAGCAAAAAGGUGAUUCGCAAUUUCUUUUUUUUUUUAAGUGAAAUUAUUUGUUAGAUUGAAGCUGAUAUUGUAAGAAGGCCAUUGAGCUAACCUAUGUCGCCACUUGCCUAGAUUGCAGGGGGUCAAGACUCAAAAGAAGCACUGAAAUUUAAAAAGCAUGCAAUAGUUCUUUUGCCAUGUGUCAAUUAAUGCAAGUUUGAAUAAGUUUAUUGGCUGAACGAUGUUAGCUUCUUUUCCUUUCGUGCACUUUGGUAUGCUAUCAAGUGACAGCCGUAUGUAUGGCUUGCAUAUAGCUGCUGCUGGGAAAAUUGACGAUUUCAUGGCUGGCCGUGUUAUUGUCUUAAAUUAGUUGUGAUAAGCUGUUGCUUGGAGAUUCUGUUGCCAAGAAUUUGCUCACAUCAGAAGCUGUGGAAUCUGAACCCUUCGAUUCUGUUGCCAAGAAUUUGCUCACAUCAGAAGCUGUGGAAUCUGAACCCUUCGUUAUGUAUCAUCUUUUUCAUUGUUUUAAAACAGUAAACUCUCAGGACACUGAGCAGGCAAAUGUUAUAACUCGGUUUGUUAGCCAAAAACUUGUUGAAGAUUCUUGACAAAGCUGCGUCGAGUGAAUUGUCGGAGCUCUGAGGGUGAGAGAAAUUAGAGGGUGUAUAGGGAUUUGGAUUUGUUAGGAAGUUAUCAUUUUUAUUUGUCCGAUUCAAAACUUGAUAUUCCAAUUAUAUUCAUAAGCUUCUACAGUUAUCUUCAAAAAGACAUUCCAAUUAUAUUCAUAAGCUUCUACAGUUAUCUUCAAAAAGACAAAUGGAAGGCUUUGAACGGCUUGGGUCUGAGUAUUGUAGUUUGAUUUAUUUUGAUGAAAGAACCUUUUGACAUUAAGAUUCUUUCAUGAGUUAAACAUUCUUUUUAAAACCAACUUAUUAAAAAAAAAGUAACGAACAUAUAUUAUUUUGUUAGUGCUUUUUAAAUCAAAUAUAAAAAAGAGAACUGUAAUUCUUAGCAACCAAUUUUUCAUUGAGUACACCUACAACAAAUUAUUAAAAAAUAAAGCGAUAGAAAAUGCCUGAUUUUUCGUACUUUCUAAUUACUUUUGGUCCUAAAAUAUGGCGAUUUGUGUAAUAAUAAGCCCAUGUAUAUCUUUAUGCCAUUAGUUUGAUAAAUAACUAUCAAGGAUAACUUAUUAAGCUAAAAAUAUUUGAAGGAUAAAAUGGGAAAACUAAAAGGGUGGAGUAAUAAAGUUAUUUAAGAUUACAUAGUAAGUUAACUAUAUUCGAGGGAUAAAAUAUUAAAACUUGAAUAGUUAUAUUAAAAAUAUCUCGGCUAUUAUACUAUUAAACCAUAUGCCGUAAUAAUGUUUUUUUUCAAACUUUAAAAAAUUCAGGAUUUUAAAUUAAAACAUGGAUUUCUUUAAGAUGCUAUAUGUGUUUUUACAGUAUUGAUAGUGGGAUUAGUGUGUACCCUUAUAUGAAAGAGUUUUAAUCUGAAUCAUUCAUUUAAUAUAAUAGAUAAUUAAAUAAUUAAUUAAAAUAUAGCAGGUAACUUAUAGGUUGCAGGUAAAAAAUUAAUUUUUUAAUUUUAAAUUAAAAUUAAUUUGGAACAAAACCAUCCACACCCCUAAGGUUUACUUAAAUGAUCAUAUAAAUCCCUUUAGUUUCUACAUAGUUAUACAGACCCUCUUAAUUUCAUAAAUUAUUAUUAUACUUUUAAUUAAAACAACCUAAAUGAAUAUAAAUAUAGUAAUAGGAUAGAAAUAAUAAAUAAAUAUCAGAUGAAACAAAUAAAAUAUUACAAUAAAUACAAUUAAUUAAAUAACAUGUAUGAUGAAAAUUUUAUUCAUAUUAAGUUAUUAUUAGUCUAUCCCGAUGGAUUUACUCAAAUCAAUUAAUCCAAAAUUUAAUUUUAAGAUUGAUAUUAAUAUGGACAUAAUUAAAUAAGAUGUUGUAAUAUAUACUACUUUGAAUGUUAAGUAUAAUUAUCUAAUAUUAUUAGUAUGUGAAAUAGAUUUUAAUAUUAUUAAAGAAUAUGACAAUAUAUAAUUUUGAAUUAAAUUUUUUAGUAUUCAUGAUAUUUUAUAAAUUUUAUGUGAUUUUAUAUAUUAUAUUUUUUAAUUUUAAUGUAUUAUAUAUGAUCAUUUAAGCAAAUUUUGGAGGUGCGGUGGUCUUUUCCCUAUUAAUUUUGUAGCAUAUUUAAAGUGUUAUAUCAUACAUGAUACAUCACACUUUUGUUAAAGUGUUAUGUUAUUAAAAAUUAAACUUUGCAUUUAUAAUAUACUACCAUUUUAAUGUAAAGGUAAUAGAAAAUAUGAAGAUAUUUUUAAGUAGUCAAUUGUAGCUUUCUUUUACAAAAUAGCAGUAUAGAAAUACAAUUGGUAAAAUGUAAUAAAAAUGGUAUGGAAAAAAGUUAGUAGAGGCAAUUAUUCUUGUAGUUGCUAAAACAUAUGAAGUGACACACACACACACACACAUAUCAAGUACUUGUAUGUUCCCCUAACUUUUAUUAAUGGGAAGGAAAUUAAAUUCGUAAUUUUCCCGGUGAAUUAUGAAUUGAUAAAUGAAAUAUAAAUAUUAGUAAAAAUUAAUUUGUCGACUAAAGAAGUAAACCAUAUUUUAUGGGCAUUUAAUACAUUAAUUUAAGGUCAAAUGAGAUAAUAUCACAUGAUAUUUGAUACAAGAGUCCAAUUUUCAACAUUUGCAUAUAGUUUCUAAGCUAGUAAUCUAAUAAAAUAUACCAAAUGAGAAAUUGAAGGCUAUUAUUUAUAUUUCACCAUUGGACAAACACCAUACAUUAGAAUAAAAAAAUCUCACAGUAGAGACGGCAUCUGUUUGCAUGUUUUGAAAAUAGAUUUUGAAAUUAGUUUAAUUACAUGAUAAUUAAAUUAUAUUAUAAAAUUAAGAAUAUGAUUUAAGUACUAUUUUAGCAAUUUUGAGUCUCACAUUGAGUAUUCAAGUUAAUUAAAUGUUGAAACUCUUUUCUAUUUGGCUUGAAAUCACUACUAAAUAAAAUUACAAAAAGUCAAUAAUGAAUGAUGUAGGACACAUAUGUAAAAUAAAUUUUAAAGUGUAAUUAAACAUUCCUAUCAAUAUUAGUUUUGCAUACAUAUUCAUAUAUUUUACCGAAACCAUAUAUAAUUAAAUUUUGUGUAAUUAAGUAAAAUAUAUUAUUCAAGUGAAUUUAUGAGAAUAUUUAAAAUUGUAGGGGUCGUCACUGAAAUUUGCCAAACUUGAGCCAACCGUGCAUGAUCCAAACAGUUUAUUUUAAUAAUUCUCAAUAUGUUAGUCUGUUUGACUGUUGGCAAAAUAAAUUCCUAUCAGCAAUGCAACACAAUUCAAAAUCAUAUCUGCAUACAACGAACAAUAUCUCAUGAAAGAUCAAAUUAUACAUUUUUUACACCAAACCAUAAAUAUCUAAAUUGUCCCUCUUCAACUCACCAAGCUCAUACCUAACAACAGCAAGAUUAAAUGUCAUUUGAUCCAUCUUUUUUAUUAAGCUUUAUCAAUUCUUCUCAUGGUUGCAAUUUUGAAAGCUCGCUUCGCUAUUUCCAUUUGCUUUUAUGCUUUGUUUGAGCUCCAUCUUUUCUCUCCAUCUACAUUUUACACUGUAAAAAAAAUUUUAAAAAAAUUACAAAGCUUCUUAUGCUAGAAUAUGAGCAACAAUAUAAAUAAUAAACAAUAAAGUUAUGAUAGCACAGCAUGCUCAUUAAAGUGCUUCUUUUUUUUUUUUUUCAACAAGAAAUUACUACUGAAUUAAAGAUUUGGCUUUGCAUUAAGGUUUGCCUUCAAUAACUCAACUCCCCACUUGGGUUUUGUCGUUUUCUUAAAAUCUCUGCUCAAUCAAUUUAAAGAUCCUUUUUUUUUUCUUUCCAAAGAUCUAAAAGCAAUGUCUUUUAUUGGUACCCAACAAAAAUGCAAGGUCUGUGAGAAGACAGUUUGUCCAGUUGAGCAGUUAUCUACUGAUGGGGUUGUUUAUCACAAGUCUUGCUUCAAGUGCUCUCACUGCACUGCAAAGGCACACUCAAGCUAAGCAAUUACUCAUCCCUGGAAGGUGUUCUUUACUGUAAGCCUCACUUUGAGCAGCUUUUGAAGGAGUCGAGUAACUUCAACAAGAAUUUCCAAUUACCUGCAAAGUCAGCUGAGAAGUUAACUCCUGAGCUGAAAAGGUCGCCUAGCAAAGUUGACAGCAUGUUCUCUGGGCCCAAUAAAAAUGUGCUUCUUGCAGUAAAACAGUGUGUCCGUGGGAGAAGGUAGCAGCGGAAAACCAAGCCUCUCACAAGACAUGUUUCAAGUGCUCACAUGGUGGUAAUUCCAUUAGCCCGUCAAAUUACGCAGCCCUAGAAGGCAUCUUGUAUUGCAAACAUAAUUUCUCCCAAUUGUUCAAGGAAAAAGGCAGCUACAACCACCUUCUAUCAAAUCUGCUUCCAUGAAGCGUGCUGCAGUCUCUGUUCAAGAAGCUUGAACAUGUUAUGUUAUCUUCCAUAAAUCUUAUUUGGCGUGGGUUUUCUCUGGCUUGAGGGUGUGCUUUCUAUUUUGAUCCCUCUUGUUGUUUUUGCGGGGAACUACCAAACCUUCGGUUCCCUCUGCUUCUUUGGAUCAUCUUUGUUGGGACAAAUUUCAUGUAAUUAGAGAUACUGAUUUAUGGGAGGCAUAAUCCCAUGGUUGUAAAUUGACCAUUUUCUGGCAAUGUUCUUUUUAAAAAGAGAUGAGCAGUUGUUUAACAAAAAAAAUAGCUGGCCUUCAUCAUGGUAUGUUACCAAACUGCUAUGUAUAGCUGCUAACUAUGAGCAUCCGAAAAUAUGGUGCAUCGUGAUUCAUGUCGUGCAAUAUGGCUACCAACGCAUCCUAAAUGGAGUAUUACUCAGUUAGUCAGCAAAAUAAGACAACAGUAAGAUAUUAAAAAAAUAAAAACUACAUUAAUAAGUGGGCAAGAUCAUGCCAGUUUAACUUUUCGCGCGUCGCUGCUGGAGAUAAUCAAAUCGGGGCAGAGAAAAGGAGAAUGGAAUCAGAGGCUAAGAUUAAUAAGUGGGCUUCUGCUUGCUUUGCCCCUCUUUCUUAAACGAUUGGUAGACUGCUGCUUCCACCGAUUAACCGGGUCUUCAACCACUGCUUUUAUUGCCUGCCAUCUUGUUGUUUGUCGAAGGGAUGAAUUCGAGUCGAAAAGAGAAAGCGCGCUGAAAAAGACAAAUCACUAGUGGUUAACUACUGACUCAGCCAAGUGUUGGCUUCACUUGAUUCACCGAUUGAGGUUAUUUUGUCUUCUAUCUAAUGCAGCGAAGAAGCUUUACUGCUUAACAUGCUGCAAUGCAACUUUAUCUUUUGAAGUUCACACUUCAGGGCUGCGCACUUUAUGUAAUCCUAUGAGUAAAAAGAAUUUAUUUUCAAAUGUGAAAAAAGAAAAUGUAAGGUAGUAACUAAAUAUAUUAUAGCAUCAAAGUAAGAUUUGAUAUGAAUUUAGUACAACAAAGAACAUUAAAUCUGUGAUUCCUUGUCUAAUGUCACCAUCGAGCAACAAAUUUAAAAGCCUACCUAUCAAAUACACGAGGCAAUAAACGGAGAAAAAGUUGAAUUACAAGAACAAGUUUACAAUUCUUGUCAAUGGUUAAUGAUUCGUGAAUUGAGAUAGCAUUCAAGAAUCCAAUUUCAAUACAACAACGUAAAAGAUAAACAGAUGAUGAAUUUUAUGAGAUAAAGAAGGAGAUUGUGUUUUAUCGUAUCUCUAUUUUCUUUCCAUUUAAAUUUAAAAUAAGCUUUUCAACCGGUUAUAAUAUUUUUUGAAAUAAUUAAAUAUUUUUAUUAUUAAAAAUAAUGUGUACCGUUGAUUACAUCUAACGCUACAUAUUUCUUACACUAUUAAUACCGUAAAAAAAAUCAUAGAGGGACCCUUAAAACAUUUUCAUUUGAAAUUAUUUGGUGAAGUGAAAAAGUUAAGAAAGAAAUAGUUGUCCCUUUGGUCAUUUCACAAAAAUGAAAGCCCCAUAUAACAUGGACUUGAAUGGAAGCCCAAUUGUUGUGUUUGAUUUCAAGCUUUAUCGGACCUUUGGACCUGGAUACUUUACUGCGGCCUCUAAGCGCUACAAAUUUUUUUUUUGGGAUAAAAGGCGCUUCAAUGAAAAAGCACUUUAAAACUUUGGAUUUUGCCAAAACUUCAAAGCGGUUGGUCCAGUUACGGUGUUAUGCUAACGGGUUUAAAGGUUCCGAUCCAAUGAGUUAGGGUGGAAUAUGAAUAUAUAAAUCCUAGUCAUGUAAGGACUAGGAUUUGUUUGUUCAUAUCAAGAAAAAAAAUCUGAAAAUUUGAUGAUCAGAAGAUAAAAACACUUAAACACGUUUAUUACAGAGAAACAAACGACAACAUGAUGCUAGUAGUAAUUUUAUUUUUCUUUUAUUGUGUAACGUGGACCAAAAAAAAGGAAAUGAAUUUAAUAAAACCGUCAUUCCGCAAUAAUAAUGUACCAGCCUGGUUUUUAUAAUCCAUACCAUCCUGAUAUAAUUAAACACCAUUAAUAAUGUACCAGCCUUUAAAUAGUAAUUAAUUUAUUUAUCUAAUUCACCAAAUGUCAUUUCCGGUACAUAUCUCCUGGUAUCAAGAAGAGGCAGAACCCAAAGAAACGUUUCUUGUAUCUUCAUAUUUGUGCGAAUUCAUCCUUUCAUUGAGAAUAACCAUUUCCAGGCGGCAGUUGGCAAUCAAUUCAUGCGCAAGUCGAUGCUAUUCAUAGAUAUUAAAGACAAUGAUGAACCAAAGGUGAUAAAUCAUAAAUGCAUAAUUACCAAACCUCCAUCCUUCUCUCAUUAUGAUUUGAUUUUAAAUGAAUUAUUGCUUGGUAACAUUAUUUCCAACCAUUGCAAGAUUAUUAUUAUUUUUUUUUGGGGAGAAAUUUCAAUUGAAAGUGAAACCUUUAGACAUUUACCUAAUGAAGUUAGUUAAUGGGGAGGGUUGGAAAAAUUCCCAAGCCGUUGCACAGCAAUUACGAUCAUCCUCGGCCUCAGGUAAUUUCUUCUCCUGCAUUUUUGUUAUUUGCUAUCAAGUGACAUUCGUAAGUAUGAUUGUAUUAAGCUGCUGCUGGGAAAUAUAAGGUUUUGAUGGCUGCCCAUGCUAUUGUCAGAAGCUGCGGUUCUUUUCAUCAGCCUGAACCUGGACCUGUCGCCAUGGAUAACUGAGGUUUUUUUUUUUUUAAAUCAACUACGUCAUCUUUUCCACUGUUUUGAAACUCUUAAGAUUAAACUUUAGUAAAGUUGUUUUAGUUAUCCAUGUAAUCAGGCUGAGGAUACUUAGCUGCCUAUUUAGGCAAAUGUCAGACUUUAGUUUGUUCGCUGGGAACUGGUGUGGUGACAGCGUCCUGGCAAAGGAUGAUGAGAUAGUUUUUUGAUUGAGUAAAUUUUGGGGGCUUGAGUAUAUUGGGAUUUGCAAUUACAAUUAUCCUCUGCCUCAGGUGAUUUCUUCUCCUGCCCUGUCGUUGUUUGUUCUCUAAUUCAAAAUUAUAAAAUAUUUCAUCAAAUUUUAUGCCGGGAAUAUGCAAAAGUUUCUAAUAUUUUAUUUCCAUCUGUUUGUCUUGAUAACUUUGCAGCAUAUGUACUAGUUAAAGAACAAAUCGAAACAGAGUUCAGUUAAAAGUUUCUUCUGCCGUCAUAUUUGAAAAAUGAACCCAUUUCCAGGAAGCAAUGGGCAGCAAAUUCAUAUAAAGCGUAGACAAUGAUGAGCAAACAGGUGAUUCACAUUAAUGAAAUUAAUUGUUUGGUUGGAGCGGACAUUGUUAGAAGGCUAUUGAGCUAACCUAUGUCACUACUUGCCUAGAUUACAGGGGGUCAAAACUCAAAAGCGGCAUUGAAUUUUAAAAGGCAUCCAAUAAUUCUUGUGGCCAUAUAUCAAUUCAUGUAUGUUUGAAUGUAAUUAUUGGUGAAGGGGUUUCACUUCCCGUCUCUAAAUAAAAAUACUGAUUCUUUAAGGUACCUGCCACUAGGGAUUGCGAGAUUAAUGAGUCUUUGGACAUUGGAAGAGCUCCUUGUGAGUGGAGGAGGAGGUGUUGAUGGUAGCAAAGCAUGUGGGCAGUGGGCUUGAAUCUCUAAAAAACUUGGAACUCCUCCAAGCGUAAGUAUACGUAUACUGGGAAAUUUGUUAGAUGUGGAUGAGGCUAAGAGAUUAGAGCUUGACAAAAUGAAAUACCUCUUUCAUUGAGACUUAAAUUUGAUGGGGAAGAAGAAAAAGAAGAGGGAAGGAGGAAGAAUGAGGAUAAUCAACUUGUUCUUGAAGCCUUGCAACCACCUCUGAAUUUGAAGGAAUUAGAGAUUUGGUCAUACAGAGGCAACAUUGUUUCCCCCCGGAUGAUGCAAAAAUUGAAGGAAUUUACCAAUCUAAGGAGUUUGACACUCUUUAAAACUGCAAAAAUUGAGAGCAGUUGCCUCCUUUGGGAAAAUUGUGAUCCUUUGAAAAUCUCAGCAUAUUGUACAUGGAGAGUGUGAAAACAGUGGGUAAUGAAUUUCUGGGAAUAGAAAGUCAUCUUCAUGACUCAUCUCCAUCUUUAUCAGUUAUUAUUGCCUUCCCCAAAUUGAAAUCACUUUCAGUUGAGGGAUUGAUGGAAUUGGAGGAGUGGGAUUAUGGGAUUAAAAGAACAGGAAACACCUUCACCAACAUUAUGCCACGUCUUUCUUCCUUGGAAAUUAGUGUGGGGUUAUGGGAUCGCACAACCACGUUGAAGGUAUUGCAGAUUGUGGCAUGUGGUACUCUAAGAAGACGUUGCAGACAGGGGAGAGCAGAAGACUGGCCUAAGUUCUCUCACAUUCUAGACAUCAUGAUUGUGUGAAAAGAGGCCCUUGACAAAAUUCUCUAGGCGGCUACAUGGAGUACAAUCAUAAAAUGCUAAUGUGGCCACCCUGGUUCUUAAUUAAGGUUGUGAAAUAUUAUUGUAAAAGAUGAUUAAUUCAAUUUGAGUCAUUCGUUUGCUUUGAUAAUGAUAGUAAUUUUAUAUUUUGACAAUUUGCAAGGUGAGAAUGGUGCUGAUUGGUGAUACAGGAUACGGUUCAAACACCAUUGAAUAAAGCUACGGACAUGGUGGCUCAACUUAGCUAUUGCUGUCAAAAUUGGUAAGUUGGCUUGUCAAUGUAUUGAUGCUUUUGUUUUCUCUCAACCCUAAUUACCUUACCUUCAUUUAGUUUGGCUUUGGAGUUGAGUAAUAACUUUCAAGGUUCUCAAACAGAGCAGGACAACCGAAAAAAAAAGCUUAAUUUGCUACUGAUCACGUGUUACCAAUUAUUAAGGUAAUUCUCGUUUACUUGCUUCUACACUAUAGAGUACGUGUUCUGGCUGGUUUAUCUAAUUCAUCAAAUGUUAUUUCCUUAUUGUUCCAUUGAUAUAUUUGUUAGAAAGUGAAACCAUUUCCAGGCAGCAGUUGGCAGUGAAUUCAUGCAAAUGUUGAUGCCAUUCAUAGAUAUUGAAGACAAUGAUGAGCCAAAGGUGAUAAAUCAUUAAUGCAUAGUUACCAAAACCUCCAUCCUUCUCUCAUUGUAAUUUGAUUUGAAAUGAAUAAUUUCUAGGUAAUUGAAGCCAAUAUUGUUAGAAACGGUGUUGAGCUACCCAAGCUAAGAAGUUGGCUGCCAAAAAAUGCAGGGGAUCAAAAGAAGCAUUGCAUUUGAAAAGGAAUGAGAUUCUGGUUGCUACAUGUCAAUUCGUAGAAGUUUCAAUAAAUUUAAUGGUUCAAGAUUUUAGUUUCUGUUUAAAUUUGUGCUACUGCAGUGCUGCAGUGCUGCUACUGGGAAAUUUAAAUCCCAUAUUAGACUUUCCUCACAUAAGAAGCUGUGGAUCUUCGGACAUCAGGUUUUUUCACAGUUCUGAAACUCUCAGGAUUAAACUCUAUUAAAGUUGUUGUAGUUGUCUACGUUCUCAGGUCAAGGAUUCUAAGCUGCCGAUUAAGGCAAAAUGUCAGAAUUCCCCUAUUAUUUUUUUUUUCAUGUAAAAUUAUGUUGUUGUCUUCGCCCAUGAAUCUUAGCUAAAUUCUGAACCAAUUGUUUGCUAUUAUAAAUUUCAUUGUUAAAUAUUAAUUGUGAUGUUGGUGUUGAGUUUCUUUUAAAGUCAGAGAAGCCUGACGAUUGAGUUCCAUGGGAUUCUGAGAAGCAGUAAUAUUUUGAACAAGUGAAGGUUCUUCGUUUUUACAGUAUGUGCAGAUGUCUAAGAGGCAGGAUUUUUAUUUCUGUAAUGCUAAAUUUCGCAAAACAAUAAAAAUAAAUAAAUGCAUGACAGUGACUUCAAGAAUUUAGAUUAUUGAAUUUGGUCAUUUUAAAAUUGUUGGAAUGUUGAACUUAAGUAAUUUUUAUAAACCAGAGCUCAGAAAUGUAGAAUAUAAAUAUUGGAGAUUUGGACUUCAAUCAUUAGACUUGAAGCUAAAGAGGUAAGCCAUUAAUUAUAUCAAAGGAUUUGGAAAAUGGAGGGAUUGGAAAAAGGAAACAUUUUCAUAAACUUCAAGAGGAACGUCACAGAAAGGGGUAAAGAGAAGAGUAGCCUAAGAUAUUAAAGACAAUGUUGAGCCAAAGGAAACAUAAAUCCCAACCAUUGCAUGUGAACAUGAUCACAAUAAGGUCAAAAACCAUUUUUUUGAGAAUUUUCAAUUGAAAGUGAAACCUUUUGACAUUUACCUAGUAAAGUUAGUUAAACGAGAGAAAUAAAGGGGAAAAGAAAAGUUGACUCAAGUCAAUACAGAAUAAUUAGUUCAAUCUGGAGUAACUAAAACAGAGCCACUAUAUUUUCAAAAAUAUCUGCAUUCAUCACCUUCUCCUCCAGCUAGUGAGCUACACACGAAUCCUUUCCUUUUAGCAUUUUUGCAGCAUCAAUUUCUCCCCUCGUUUGUCAUCAAUUUCUCCCUUCGUUUCACCAAUACCAUGGCUGAUGCAAUCGUUUCCCCUCUCUUGGAGCAGCUGAUUAUCUUUGCUGCUGAAGAGUUGAAACAACAGGGGAAGCUGGUGAGUGUUGGAUGAGUGGAUCACAGCAUGCGCCAAAUCGCAAAAUAGAUCAAUGCUCUUGGUGCUCCUUAUCUGAAGAAGAAGGUGCAAAUUGGGAGCUGCAUUUCACUGUCAUAACAUUUAUUGUAAUUUCAUUUGGAGAUAUGUAAUAUCUGUUGUCCAGAUACAUAUCAUACACCAGUUGCUAUGUAAUUUCGUUUAGGUUCAUUUUUGUUUCUUAAGAGUUUGUAAAAAGAAUGGAAAGAUUUUAAAAUAUAAAUUUCAUAUCUGUUUAUUACUGUUGUUUGGUCUAAUUUCUUAUGUAGAAUUUUCAGAAUCUGUAGGACAUUAGUUUAUAAUUUUGAGAUUUUGCAGCCAUAAAAAAAAUUUUUUUUUUUUGCCAUUUUAUUUUGCUCCUUUAUCUAUGUGCAUGUUGACUGGCUGCAGUGAGUGAAAAUUUACCUAUAUAUGCUGGCUAUUCUUGGACAAUAUUAGAGAAAAUAAUCAUAUUAUUUCGCGUGAUGUGAACUUCCAUAACUUAUCAAUUGAAUUGCUGUAAAAUAUUAAAUAGUUUUAUUUUUCUUUUAUCGUGUAACUUGGACCAAAAAAGGAAAUGAGUUUAACACGACCCUCAAUAUAACCUCCAUUUCAGCACAAUACAUGUUAAUUGUUCCCCAAGGACUUCUCCUGUUUCCCAUUCCCACCUCCAUGCUCUCGAGAGGAAUUUAGCACCCAUCAAUUUUUAUUUUUGAAAACUCGUAAUGGUCUGAUAAAAUUAAACAACAUCAAUAAUGUUACCAGUCUUUAAAUAGUAAUUAAUUUAUUUAAUUUGCCACCUAAAAGAAUCCUGCUGGAAAUAGAGGUUAAAAAUUUUAUUAGAUCUGCUUACCUUUGUUCAUUCAGCAAAAACACUUACAAUUCACAGCUAGAGAAUCUAUCCAUUGACAAUUGUGGAUUAAAAUUAUAACACCUGAAUUCAAACAUAUCCUUAUGAAGUUAUGAAUUUGUUCAUACUUCAAAUGAUUUUUUUUUCCAAGCUAAUAAAGCAACCACUUUGAUCAAACGACGACGUUGAAGGAAUUACGUAUUUUCAAUGUCCUUUUCCAGACAGAUGUUGGAGAGAGGGAAAGGAGAAGACUGGCCUAAUUAAGAUAUCUCACAAAGAUUAUUGAGUUAAAAUGUUAUUGUAAAAGAUGUUUAAUACAAUAAUAGUAAUUCUUUUGCAUUGUUAUAAUGAGGCUGGUGGGUUUCCUCAGAGGAUGGAUAUGGCUCGCUAGCAUGCAUUUGGGAAGAUGCUAAUUAUCGGCCAUAAAAAGUCAGGGGGUUGUGGCUCUUCCGUCGCCCAGAAAUUCCUAAACUCAUAUAUCAAACUUCAGAUGAACUUGGGCAUUAUGUAAAUAUGUAUUUUUGAGAAUUAAACUAGUGCGUUCGAAAAAUUUUGAGCCAUUGUAAUCAUUUUAUUUUGCUAAGAGAAAAUUUUACUUUGUUUCGCUUUGCCUUUUGUUUUUUCUGUGAUAAUAUGAUUCAUACGAAUGUGAUUACACACUAUCAUGCAUCUAUUUUCAUUUGCUUGUCAUGAAUGGUCAACAUGCUCGAAAUAUUUACUUAGGUUGGAAAUAUUUGAAUCCACUAAAAUACUAUACAAACCCAUUUUAAAAUUAAAAAAAUGAUUAUCAUAAUACUCGUGAAGAUAACACGAUAUCAUACAUAAAAUAAAAUAUUUCGCAAAAAAGAUAAGAUACAAAUCUUGAGUAAAUAGGUACAAAAAAUAUUUUAGUGGGUUAAGUAGCACUAAUGCCCCCUUAUCAAAAAAUAAAUAAAAAUAACUAGUCUGAUUGGGUAUACCGUUUAUAUAUAUGUACAUAUUCUUGAUAAUGUGUAAUGUACAUUAUAGACAAAGAUUUUGAAAGCAAUAUUUUUUAAAAAGUCGAGAGAAUAGGAAAAGUCUAAAUCAAUUUUCUAAUCUCUACCUCCUUUAUGAUUUAAACUUUAGUGUUUAGUGUCGCGAGCCACUCAAAUUUUCUAAUCAAAGAGACUAAAUUGCACGAAAUUGUGCUAGCUUAUUUGAUUCUAGAAAUUUCUACUACACUGUAACACACUCUCACGUAGGGAUGGCAAUGGGGAGGGGAGGGGAGGGGACCAAUCUCCCCAUAUCCAUCCCCGAUAUUUUACAUAUGUCCCCGUCCCCGUCAGAAUUGCUUGAGAGAAUCCCCAUCCCCUCCUCGAAUAAUAACAGGGGAUCCCCGAGGGUCCCCGGUCCCCGAAUAACUAAUAAUCUAAUACAUUUUUUUAUUUUCGAUUUUAAAUUAAUCAUAUUAAAAUAAACUCAUACCGCUAUUGUAAGCUCGUAACCAAUUUUGACAGCACAUUAAGGCCUCCAAUGUGCUUGGAUGAAGUCUGUUAUGGUAUGGGCUCACAACUCUACCACUAGUGUUAAAAGCUGAUUCAGAAGCAACUGUUGUAAUUGGAAUUGCCAAAAUAUCUCUAGCAAUUCGAGCUAAUGUAGGAUACCUAUUAGCAUUUGUCUUCCACCAACUCAAAAUAUUAAAAUCUUCCAUCCGAGGUAUAACUUUCUCAUCCAAAUAUGAAUCUAAUUCAUCUGCAACAACUGCACAAUCUCCAUUGUUUACAUAAUCAUCAAAACCUAUCAUCCAUUUGGUUGCUUUCUUAUAAGAAUCCCCUGUAGAUCUAGUAGAAGAACUACUACCAGUAUAAUCAAAGCAAUAAACAGUUGGUGAAAACUUCAAUUAAUACUCUUCAACUAAUUCCCGGCAAAGGAUGACCACUUUCCCAACAUACAACUAUUUUGAUAUUUAUUAUUUUUAACAAUAUUUAUAAUUUUGUUAUUUAUUUAUUAGUAAUUUUAAAAAUAAAAAUAAAAUUAAAAAUUAAAAUGGGGAAAUGGGUAGGGGAUGGGGAUUCCACCUCAUCCCCGUCCCCUCCCCGAAUAAAAAAUUGGGUAAAAAAUUUUCCCCGUCCCCUCCCCGAAAAAAAAAUUGGGUAUAAAAUUAUCCCCGUACCCUCCCCGAAUGGGGAAAAUCCCCGAGGGUAUCCGUCCCCGUGGGGAUUUUUGCCAUCCCUACUCUCACGCUUGUACAUACCUCGAAAUUCUCUAGAAUUUACUAGAGUAGUGUUGCAUGUAGCUUGUACAUAGGUUUUUCUGGAACACUCCAGGCAUUACUAAGCAUGAGAGCCUUGAGAACUCUCUAGCCAUAAAACAUUCUAGGGUAAGCCUACCCUAAAAAUAGGGCAUGAUGCUUGCCACUUGAGCAUACAACAAGUAAGAACAAAUCAAGCAUACUUGUGAGCUCUCAAACUCUCUUAUACACACUUUUAUGAAUAAUAUAUUCUCUCUUUGGCUAUAUUGCUCUCUCUUCUCUCUAGUUUUUUUCGCAAGCAUCAAACCUUAGUUAGUCGAAAAAUUCAAGGCUUACUUUAUAGCUAUCUCGUAAAAGUUGUUUAAGUACCAUAGAGAUUUGCUGUGCAAAAUACUCAUCACAUGACAUUAGCUAAAUAAAAUUGUUUGAAAGCCACUUACCCAAACUAUUAAACGAAUAUUGACUUUUGUCUUAAUUUUCUAUCUCCUACGAUAAAUUUUAUAGUUAAAAAUUGAAAAAAAUUAAUAACUAUUAGAUAGAGCAUUCUUUAUUGUUAAAAGAAAUCUAUAUAGAUAGAUAGAUGGUAAUAUAAAAACUUACUUAUUGUAGUAUAAUGUUUUUAGUUUUUUGAAACACAGAUUCUCACUUUUUAAAGAUAAAAUUCAAAGAAAACAAGUUAAAUGUUGUAGAAAAUCUUCCAGCCAUACAAGAAAUUGUGAUGGCUAAAUGCAAACCUAACUAAAGUAUUAGUUGUUUUAUUACAAUCUCCAAAAAGAUGAGCAAUUCCAAAAUCUUUUUUUGUGACAAUAAACACUACACGUCAGUAAUUAUCCAGGUCAAAAGCAAGCUACUCUAUUAAAAAAAAAAAAAACUUGCAGUGAAUUCGAAGAUAAACCAAUUUUACUAGCAAGUUGGAUACAAAAGAGUAGGGCUUCGGCCUCAAUUACUCAGUGUACCAACAACUCAAUCUCGGUGAGUUAAAAUCAACUUCCAUCAGUCUUUUAUUUGUUGAUAGAUCGAUUAAGGUACCAAAAAGAAUAAUUAAAGAUGUAUUAGUUCAAGUUAAUAAAUUCAUAUAUCUUGUGGAUUUUAUUAUUUUGGAAACUGAACCAAUUGCUAAUGAAUGCAAACAAAUUCCUGUUACAUUGGGUCGUCCAUUUUUAACUACUGCUAAUACAUUGAUUAAUUGCUGGAAUGGAGUAAUGAAUUUAUCUUUCGGCAACAUGACAUUGGAACUUGAUGUGUUCAACAUAUGUAAACAACCUCACCACCAGGAAGAUGAUGAUAAUGAGAAUUAGGAGAUUGAUUUCAUCGAGCCAAUCAUUGAGGAACACAUUCAGAAUAAGAAUUUUACAAAUUCUGUGGAAAUUUAUUCUUCUUGUUCUUUUGAAUCGAGUAAAGAAUUAAAUUAUGAUACUGCUAACAUAUAACCUACAAUUGAUUCUAUGCAGGUACAUGCUGACAAUGGCCAAUCAAACUUUAAAGAUACAGAACAACCUGAAGAACCAAACGAAGAGCAAGUACCAGAGCUCAAAUUAAAGCCCUUACUGGAAGAAUUGAAGUAUGUCUAUCUUGGAGAACAACAGAUUUAUCCUGUGGUAAUUUUUUUCCCAACUCACGCUUGAUCAAGAAGGUAAGUUGUUGUCUGUACUAAAAAGGCAUAAAACUGCAUUUGGCUGGACUUUAAAAGACAUAAAAAACAAUAAUUCUUUAAUCUGCACACACCGAAUACACUUAGAGGAAAAUACCAAAACAACCCAUCAACAUCGACAUUAUAUGUGUAAACAUUAAAUACCAAAAUCAACCCCAAAAACUAUAAAUAAAAUAUCAUGAUUAAAAUGAAGUUUUUUUUUAGAUAUUCGUUGUAGUAUCUCUUUAGAUCGCAAACAAGAGAUAAAAUAAAUAAAUAUUUGCUAUGUAAAUAAAAAUAAAUAAUUUUUUUUAACUGAAAAAUAUUCUCAAAAACUAAAUAGUUCAAACUUUUUUUAACAUCAUGUGUUUCUAGGGUUGGGCAUUCAGUUCGGUUUUUACCGAACCGAACAACUAAAUUAAAUCGAAAUUACCUGUUCGGUUCAAUUGAAUAGACAAAAACCGAAGAGUUUAUAUUUUCAUGAACUGAAUGAUUUGUGUUUCAGUUGAGUUCGGUUCGAUUCUGGACCUGAACCGAACCGAACCGAUCCGUGAAUCGUAAACUGCCCACCCUUACGUAGUAGUUUCCGUUAACCGACGUUGUAUUGCUCGUAUAAAAUUGUUCAAAUGUUCAAAUCACAGUCUCCCGCUCUCAGCUCAGUCAGAGUUUCCAGGUCCAGAGACUUCCCGCUGACUGAGAACUUUUUCGUAGCAGGUCUACAAAUAAUGGAGUAGAGCUGAUUUUAUGAUUAAUUUAUUUCCUUUUUCAAUUUCUCUUGAUUGCGAUUUAAUCUGGAAAGUUAAACGUGAAUUGUUUAGUGCGGAUUAAAUGUUCGACGAAUUUCCCACAAGAGUAUUAAGUUCAAGAGAAAAAAAGAAAACAAUUGAGCGUGAGCGUGAGCGAGAAUGGUGUUUGGGCAAGUGGUGAUUGGUCCGCCCGGCUCGGGAAAGACCACUUACUGCAAUGGCAUGUCUCAGUUUCUCAGCCUUGUUGGCAGGUAACUUCGUUUCUUGAUUUCAAGCAGCUUUAUCUUCGAUGACCAAAAAUAUUGAUUUGGGCUUUGCCAUUAAAUGAAUGUAAGAGCAGUAGGGAAUAACUGAGUUAUAGGAUUAGCUUUAAGUGAACAUUGAUGGUAAUGUGAAGGUUGUAUGUGUUCAGUGGCAAGCUGUAUGCCAAUUUGGUCUAUAUGGUUGCUUAGGUAGUAACUUAUUAAUUUUUAGGCAGGAAGGUUGCAGUCAUCAAUUUAGUUCCUGCUAAUGAUAGUUUGCCGCAUCCUUUGUCAUUGAACUUUCUUACAAAUGCUGUGGUUUGUUGUAGUAUAAUUAGUUCAAUUGGAAAUUUCCUUGAUGUUAAUAUAGAAAUGAGUGUGCUGUGAAUAUUGAGGACCUCAUUAGACUAAGUGAUGUGAUGAUGGAGUAUUCACUUGGUCCCAAUGGAGGUUAGUCAGCCUAUUGUUGUUUACUCUUUCUUGCUUUAUCACGCAAUGAUAUUCCUUUGCUUUACAACAAAUUUCAUGAAAUUAACUUCAAUCAAGUGGCAAUGUUCAUACGCUGUUGAGAUUUUAUGGACAAUGAUUUGGUAGAAUUUAUAUGCCGUCUUCUUUCUUUUUGCAGUGAUAUGCUUGUAUUCAAUGAGCUUGUACUUAUUCUAUGGUUUCUAAAGUAGGUGUUUUUAUGAUAAACUAGGUCUUGUGUAUUGUAUGGACUAUCUAGAGAAGAAUAUUGACUGGCUGCAGUCGAAAUUGGAACUACUUUUGAAAGGUAAGUAGAGGCCAUUUUCCUUCAUUCUAAUGCCAAUAAUGCUGUCAUGAGACUCAUAAAAAUUGUUAAAACGUUAAUGUUUUUGGUAUUUUGCAGAUCGUUAUCUUCUGUUUGAUUUUCCUGGCCAAGUUGAAUUAUUUUUUCUUCAUUCCAAUGCCAAGACUGUUAUAAUGAGACUCAUAAAUAAGUUAAAUCUCAGGGUAUUGUUACAUCUUACAUCUAUGAAGGGACUCAAAGAGUUGAGAUGAAUUCAUCUUUGUUAUUUUGAUGCCAGAAUUGUGCAAUUCUCAGUUUGUUCCUUUCACAUGCAGUUGACUGCAGUGCAUCUAGUUGAUGUGCAUCUUUGCAGUGACCCCAGGAAGUAUGUUAGUGCUUUGCUUCUCUCAUUGUCUACGAUGCUACAUCUGGAACUUCCCCAUGUCAAUGUCUUGUCUAAUCGAUCUGAUUGAGAAUCAUGGAAAGCUAGGUGUGGUUUUAAGUGUAGCUCUCCUGCUUGUUUGUUUAGUUUGAAAUAUCAGAUAUUGUCACAAGAUCCUAUUUGCUACAUUUCCUCACCAAUCAAUUAUUUUGGGUCUGUUGCAGCUUUUAAUCUCGAGUACUAUACAGAUGUGCAAGAUUUGUCAUAUUUACAGCAUGCUCUCGGUCAGGACCCUCGUUCUGCUAAGUACAGGUUUGAAUUCUAGCUGAAUCAAUGAUGCAAAUUAUGUCCAUUGUUAUUUCUGCUGUUGUUUCUAUCAUUUUCAAUUGUUACUUCCCCUUUCCAUCUACUACCACACUACAAUACCCACACAAAUGUUGUGAAAUUUGUCAAUGGAAAAAAAACAGUUCCUCUUUUAUUUUGAUCAGACUCAAUGAAUAAGUGGUUAAAAUGUGCCUGUCCUAGAAAUAUAGAUGUGUGGUUUCGUAAAAUUUUCUUGAUCUUAAGAAAGAGUUAUCUCGAAAAGAAGAUAACAUGGAGAAUUCAACAACUAUACAGUCAUAUUGAUGUCUGUCAACUUGGGUCAUAUGGUGUCGUUUGGAUGGAGAUGUUAGGUCCCAGAUGGUAAACUUGUUAUCGAAUUCCAGUCUACUUCAUUCAUGCUUUGAUGACAUAUACGGUGCAGCUUCUUAUCUAAGACCUGCAUAUGUUCAAUCAUCAUUCUGUUCUGUAUUUGGCUGCCAUUCUUUUCAAUGAAUUCAAACCACUUCUGAAUACUUGCAAAUUCAUCCAGUGUUGUCAUUGAGAUGCCAAUAUGAAAGGAAGCCAUAAUUGCCCUUGAUAGUAUGCUUAUUGAUUGCCUCUUGCCUCACUCAGCCUCAUGAAUCUGCUUGUAUGGUGUUCUUGUAAUUUCAUUUGGAGAUUAGUAAUAUCUGUUGUUCAAAUGUAUUUUAUAUACCAGCAGUUAAUAAUUCUGCUUGCAGAAAGCUUACAAAGGAGCUGUGUGAUGUAAUUUUUCAACCUUAGAUAUCCAGGUCAUCAGUUUCUCUUGAAUUCUUUCUUGAAUUUCUUUGAAUUAUUUGUGAAUAAGAUCUUAGUUGGCUGCUUCUCUUCAGGAUAAGGAAAGUGUGGCAAAACUCGUGAAGCUGAUAUAUAAAAGCAAUGGGUACAUCUUUGCUGGCAUGGAUGCCAGUGCAGUUGAAUUCAGCAAGAUUGCCGUUCGCGAUGUUGAUUGGGAUUAUUUCGGAUAUCCUUCUUUUCACCUAUUUUCAAUGUUGUUAUUCUCAUAUUCAUAAAAUUUUUUGGUUAUUUAAUUAUGGUUCAUCAUAUGCAUCUGCAUCUUCUAACUUGUUCGUUUGAGAAACUAAUUUUGCCGUUAGGUAGGCUUCGAGCUUGAUGAGUUGAUUCAUGCUUUUUUCAUAAAUGUACCAAAAUCAUGGAAACUUCUUUUUCCCAGAUAUUGUAUCCACACUUUUUCCAUGUAAUUGGGUCAGACAAGUUUUGCUUAACAAAGAUAUCUACAGUAGCCGAAGUGCAGGAGAAGUACAUUAAGGAUGAUGAUGAUGUUAACUAAAAUGAGACGUGAAGAUAUGUGGUGUGCGAACCGUAAGCCUGCCUCUUAAUUUUGUGCAUGUUUACUUGCUUGUGAUUCACGUUUGUUAAUCUAUUUUGCUCUCUUGCAGGAGUUAUAAAGUUUUCAAUCAAUCAAACAUUUAACUUAAGUCCUUACCUCUUGCUGCAAAGACAAUGGGAAGUCUCAUGAGCUCUAAAAAAACUGAAGAAGAGUGGAAAAUAAUUUUAAAUAGUGAUUUAUGGAAGGUAAAAGAGAUCGAGAAAGGUGUUCUAACCCCUUUGUGGUUGAGUUAUAAUGAUUUGCCGUCCAGAGGAAAAAGAUGUUUCUCGUAUUGUGCUGUCUUUCCAAAAGACUACAAUAUAAAAAAAGACAAAUUAAUUACUUUGUGGAUGGCUCAAGGUUAUCUUAGUGCAGAAGCAGCAGAACAAGAUGAGGAGUUGGAGACUAUAGGUGAAGAGUAUUUUGGCAUCUUAGCUUCUCGCUCUUUCUUUCAAGAGUUUCAGAAACGUUAUGAUAAUCGUAUUAUAGCGUGCAAGAUGCAUGAUAUGGUACAUGAUUUUGCCCAAUUUGUUAGUCAAAAUGAAUGUUUUUCGUUGGAAGUUAAUGGUAGUGAGGAACUAACCGUCACAAACUCUACAAACUCUCUUGAUGAGAAGGUCCGUCAUUUAAUGUUAAUCUUUAGUAAAGGGACUUCAUUACCUGUUUCCACUCGUAGAGUUAAAAGAAUGCGUACCCUCUUAAUUAACGAUAGUAGAUCUGAUCAUUCAUUAUUAAAUGGUGAGAUCCUAGAAGAAUUAUUUAGGGAAUUGACAAGUUUAAGGGCAUUAGAUUUUGGCAAAUCGUAUAACUCAAGUUGGUCUUCGACUGUGGAGAUUCCGAGAACCAUAGAAAAGCUGGUACAUUUAAGAUACCUUAAUUUGUUUUAUCAGGGAAUAAAGAAACUACCGGAGACAUUAUGCGAGUUGUAUAAUCUAGAAAAGUUAGAUAUUAGUUUAUGUUUUAAUCUUAAAGAAUUACCUGAAGGGAUUGGGAAGUUAAUAAACAUGAAGCAUUUACGAAAUAGAGGUACUAGUUCUUUAAGGUACAUGCCAGUAGGGAUUGGGAGAUUAACGGGUCUCAGGACCUUGGAUGAGUUCCACGUGAGUGGAGGAAAGCGUGUAGGCUUGAAUCUCUUAAAAAAUUGGAACACCUUCAAGUAUGUGGUAUACGUAGACUGGGUGAUGUAUCAGAUGUGGGCGAGGCUAAGCGAUUAGAACUUGACAAAAAGAAAUACCUCUUCAGUUUGACCCUUGAGUUUGAUAAGAAGGAGGAAGAAGAAGGAGAAAGGAGGAAGAACGAGGACGAUCAAGUUCUUCUUGAAGCCCUACAACCACCUCUCAAUUUAAAGGAAUUAGAGAUAGAGUACUACCGAGGCAACACUGUUUUCCCCAGCUGGAUGACGUCAUUAACCAACUUAAAGAGUUUAGAUCUCUCUUCCUGCGAAAAUUGGGAGCAGCUGCCUCCUUUGGGAAAAUUGCCAUCCCUUGAAGCACUCAGCCUAUGGGACAUGAAGUGUGUGGAAAGAGUGGGUGAUGAAUUUUUGGGGAUAGAAAGUGAUCAUCAUGGCUCAUCUUCAUCGGUUAUUAUUGCCUUCCCCAAAUUGAAAUCACUUUCAAUUGAGGUUCUGCGCGAAUUGGAGGAGUGGGAUUAUGGGAUUACAAGAACGGGAAACACCGUCAUCAACAUCAUGCCACGUCUUUCUUCCUUGACAAUUGCACUUUGCCCCAAAUUAAAGGCACUGCCCGACCACUUUCAUCAAACGACAACAUUGAAGGAAUUGCACAUUUGGGAUUGCAGGCUUCUGGAAGAACGUUAUUGCAAGGGGGAAGGAGAAGACUGGCCUAAGAUAUCACACAUUCCCAACCUCCAUAUUGGGCUUUGACAAGUAAUUUCUUCUCUUACUCUGAUUUGCUUUGUUGUUGUUUUUAAUCUAAUUAAGAAGCGUAAAUAGCAUUUUGAAUCAAACUCUAUAUCAGAAAUCUGCAAUACUUACUUUCUAAUAUUCUGAUUUUCAUAUCCUAUGAAUAUACGAUUUUUAAUUUGUGAGAUGGGUAACGUUACUGUAAAAGAUUAUUAAUGCAAUAUGAGUAAUUCUUUUGCAGGACAAGUGACCUACAUUUAGUUUGGCUUUGGAGUUGAAUAAUAACCUUUCGAGGUCCCGACAACCAAAAAACGAAGCUUAAUUUGCCACAGAUUGCACGUAUUGCCAUUAUUGACAAUUUUCUGCACAAGCUUAGGUUGAUGUCAAAAGAGGUAAAUUAUUGGCAUGCCUGACUAUUUUGACCAUUACACGAUUCAUAAGUUUACAUUAAUUUUGAUUUUGAGUUGAGUGAUUAGUUUUCUAGGUUUGCUUACUUUAACUGGGUGACCAAUUUCUUGUAACUAAAUGUAUGAUGUGAAGCAGAACUCAAACAAAAGUAUGCUACUUCUUGCGGAAAUCUUGCCUUUGUUCAGAUUAUGAAACCAUUUCCAUGCAGCAAAUUCAUCCAAAAGUUUGAAUAAGUUUCACGGUUGGACACUGUUGGUUUCUUUUUCUUCUGGGGUGCAUUUAGGUGCUAUCAAGUGACAGCUGUAAGUAUGAUUGCACUAAGCUGCCGCUGGGAAAUUUGAGGUUUUGAUGGCUGCCCAUGUUAUUUUCAAGAAACUAUUGAUGUAAGAAGCUGUGGUUCUUUUCAUCAGCUUGAACCUGAAACUGUCGCUAUGGAUAACUCAGGUUUUUGUUAUCAACUAUAUCAUCUUUUUCACUAUUUUGAAACUCUUAAGAUUAAACUUUAGUAAAGUUGUUUCAGCUUUUCAAAUGAAAAACUCAUUGAUUUGAGACUUCCUUCAUUAUUGUUUCUAAUUACAAUGCUAACGAUCCAGAUAAGAUAAUAUUUAAUCGGCGAAGGUGUCCCUUGGAAGUACAUCCUUCUUUUUCUUUUAUUAUACAAAUUCUUGCAAUGAGCUUAGUGAAGCUGUUGUGCUAAUCAUGCCACUGCAUAAUUUGGCCCCUAAUGUGGGUACUCUGUUACAUUGUUCUGCAAAUUCUCCAGAAGUUAAAAUCAAUAAAUUUUCUAUUAGCUCUAGUGCUUUGACCUAAAUGCUAUUCUAUAUUCUGAUUACAAUGUUUUACCUUUAAAUUAACUACCCCUAGAUGUUGGAUUUUCUAGAACUUCAAAAUGAUUAAUGGAGAAAGAUCCCAUUAUCGUUAUUGCUAUAAAAAAUUGAUUUAUGCAUCCAAAGAUACAUUAUAUAUUUCUGUGUCUCUAUUUAUAGAUGACAUUUAAGCAUCCAUAAACCGUCAGACAGAGGAAGGGGGUUCAGUGCAAAGAUUCUGUUGACCUAGGGUUGACUGCAUAAUGUCACUUGUUCGCAAUCUAUUAUUCUUUUCAAGGUCUGCUUCCUUAACGGAGCGACCAAUGUUUUUCAACUAAAUUUAUCAUAUGAUGCAGGAAGCAGGGCAGGAUAUGAAAUGUGAAGCUCAUUGGUGGAAGUAUUGCCAGUAACAGAACCCAAAGAAAAUGAAACUAUUUCAAGGCAGCAGUUGGCAGUUGCAAGUGAAUGGAGGCCCUUGACAAAAUUCUCAAGCGGUUGCAAUGCAAUUACGAUCAUCCUCAGCCUCAGGUAAUUUCUUCUCCUGCUUUGUAUUUAUUUGUUAUCUAAUUAGGAACCGUAAAGUAUCUUGAAUCAUUUUCUGUAUCUGGAAUAUAUGCAAGAGUUUCUAAAAUUUUGAUAUGAGUGUAAUGAUGGUAAUUUCUGUUUUCUGUCUGUCAUCAAAUGUUAGAAAACUUUCAUUGAGACCCUUGAACCGAGUCAUUUUUGACAAGUGAAGUGCUGAAGAGUGAAGAGUAAGAAUGGUGCUAGAUUGGGGAAUAAAGCAAAAGGAGGUAAAUUAUUGGCAGCUUCUUCAACCUUAUUUUCUUUGGACCAGUGCCUAAUUCACAAGUCUCCAUAAUUCGGCUUUUGACCAGUUGAUAGAUAAAAUUUUAAUUUCAUUGGUGCUAAUGUACCCGUGAGGCAGGCAGAGAAGGACUGUGGAAAAGAGAAGGUUUUUAGUGAAAGCUUAAACUCAGGUAAUUCUAAAAAUUAUAUGUUUUGGCUGAUUUAUCUAAAUCAGGAAAUUUUAUUUCCAUCUGUUACAAUAAAACAGAAACAGAACACAAAGAAAAAUAUUCUACUUCUUGUGGCAAUCUUGCCUUCAUUCAGACUAUGAAACCAUUUCCUUUCACCAAUUUCUUCCAAAAGUUUGAACACAUUUCAUGGUUGGACAUAGUUAGCUUCUUUUUCUUUUGGUGCAUUUAGGUGCUAUCAAGUGACAGCCGUAAGUAUGAUUGCAUUAUUGGGAAAUUUUAGGUUUUGAUGGCUCCCCAUGUUAUUGCCAAGAAAUUUUAAGUCCUCGUGUCAGAAGCUGCGUUUCUUUUCAUCAGCCUGAACCCGAACCUGUCACUAUGGAUAACUGAGGUUUUUGUCAUCAACUAUAUCAUCUUUUUCACUGUUUUGAAACUCUUAAGAUUAAACUUCAGUAAAGUUGUUUCAGUUAUCCAUGUAAUCAGGCUAAGGAUAUUUAGCAGCUUAUUUAGGCAACUGCCAGAAUUCAGUUUGUUCGCUCGAAACUUGUAUGGUGACAAGGAUACUGGCAAGGAUAGUGAGAUAGUUUUUUGUGUGAGUGAAUUUUGAAAGCUUGGGUGUUCUGGGAUUUGCAAUUGCAAUCAUCCUCUGCUUUAGGUGAUUUCUUCUCCUGUUCUGUCUUUAUUUUCUCUCUAAUUGAAAGCAUUUCAAUCAAAUUCUGUACCAGGAAUACGAAAAAUUUACCAAUAUUUUAUUUCCAUCUGUUUGCAUUGAUAACUUGGCCGCAUAUGUACUAGUUAAAGAACAAACAGAAGCAGAGUUCAGGAAAAAGUUUCUUCGGCCACCAUAUUUGAAAAUGAAACCAUUUCCAGGAAGCAGUUGGCAGCAAAUUCAUACAAAGUAUAGACAAUGAUGAACAAAAAGGUGAUUCGCAAUUUCAUUUUUUUAAAAUGAAAUUAUUUGUUAAGUUGGAGCUGAUAUUGUUAGAAGGCCAUUGAGCUAACCUCUGACACUGCUUGCCUAGAUUGCAGGAGGUCAAGACUCAAAAGAUGCACUGAAUUUUAAAAGGCAUGCAAUAAUUCUUAUGGCCAUUUGUCAAUGGUGGAAUGCUUUUAGCUUCUUUUCCUUUUGUGCAUUUUGGGGUUCUAUCAAGCGACAGCCGUAUGUAUGGAUGGAUAUAGCUGCUGCGUUGAUUUCUAAUGCAUUGUAUGAUGUUAUAGCAACUAUCCAUCUGGUCAAUGUUUCAAAAGAAUAAGACAGGGAAAAAGAGAAAGCAAGUGGCCAAUCAAGUUGCAUCAACCAAAUUGUUGUUAAACAAGUAAAACAAAGAAAGAGAGUUAAGGAAGCUGACCUUGUAGUAGGGGAGCUGAAGAAAGGCUGCCAGUGAAUGUAAGAGAAAAUAAAAUGCAAGAAAUGGUGAAGUGCAGCUUUUCAUGUCAACUUGAAAUUGAUUUUUCUGUUUGUUUUUUUUUUUUUGUAAUCUUUUGGAUUUUUCAAACAAAGAAAAUGAGGAGCAACCAGGGAGAUAAAAAGGGCGCCAAGGCAACUGUGUGUUGGGUUUAGAGCCAAAAAUAAAUAAAUAAAUAAAUAAGACAUCGUGUUCUUGUGGAGACCAGACCUAUUACGUAACGUCCCCUUCAAUACCACUUGUUCCGUAUCUGGUUUUCUCUUCGUCGUUUACAUAUUUAUCCUGUGAUUUUACAAUAACUAAAUAAUCCCCGCAUAGUUUGCAAUUUUAUUCAUUUGGGCCCUACAGAUUUCAGUAAUAGGAAUUAUUAAGGGACAAGAGCGCAAAACAGAAACUCUGUCCACUACUGAUGAUAUAAUAACGAACCUUUGUUUUUUUUUUUUAAAAAAAAAAAGAGUAACAAAAUAUCAUUAGACAAAUGAAAAUAUUAUCUAACAUCACCUAUUCACCUUACUGAUGAUAUGAAAAUAUGUAUGUAUGUAUGUAUGUAUGUACAUAUAUACAUACACCUAUGUAACAUUUACUUAUACAUUCUUUUGAGUUUAAAUCUUAAUACAACUACAUACAACCACAUCAAUGUAUAUAUUUUUUACAUAAGACAUGCCGUCCUAUUAUUCAUAAGUAAACAAUGUGCCGUAAAUAGUAUUCUGUGUUUUCUCAAAGUUGACUUUUCGUCUUUUAUUUUCAGACGCAGACGCUAUGUCAUUUUGUAAUCGUCCGAACAUAUACAGAGCAGAAUUGGUGUUAUCUGAUUUUGUGAUGCAAUAAGAUUUGCACUUCCUGUGCAUUCAAUGGAAUCAUGCCACGCUAGUAGACAAUAUGCUAGUUUGAACAAACUUGUUUGAAUGGCAAAAACGACAUGACCUGCUGUAGUAUUAAUUCUUUCCCGAACCAACGGGUGAUUUGCUACGUUGGAUCAUGAAAAUUAACCAAAAUAAAAAUUCUUAAGGAAUUAGUUAGUUAAUUGAUUGAUCGAAUUUAAUCUAAAUUUGAAAAUGAUAAGAUAAAUUUAAAUUUAUUAUUAUUAUUAUUAUUAUUAUUUUAAAGUGGGUGGGUUUAUACAAUUUGAGCGGUGGAAAUAUCACUGCUGAAUUAUUAAAUAUACAGUGUAAAAUUUUGACCUUUAAAAUAUUCCCUUUUUUUUUUUAUUUAGCACUAUAAGUUUAAAAAUUUAACAUUUUACCUCAAUAAUUAAAUACUUUUAACUUUAAUCUUCAAAUAUUUACCCUACAACAUUUGGACCUAAAUUUUUAAUCCGACUCGGCCCCUGACCCAAGUGGGAAGAAGAUCAGGCUUAUAAGUUAUAACUAUCACCAACAUAACAUCUUCUGGAAAAUAAUAAGAUUACUCACCUGCAAUUAUGUGAUCAAACUAAUGGUAAGCAAAAUAGAACAGCGUUAUUUCAGUCCCCUUUCAGUUUCUUUAUCAUUUUUCUUUUCCUAUUUAUAAGCUUAAUUCGGUUCAAAAUCGGCUAAUUCACUUUGAUUUCACUUUUCUUUCUUUCGGUUCAAAAAAAUUGAACCCAUUGGCUGUCAAUUCAAUUUUGUUGAAAACCAACUUUGCCUGAAUUUAAGUAAUAAUAGAGGAAAAAAAAAGAGUACUUAGCAGAAGAGAUUUCUCAUUUUUUUCUCAUUCAAACUUCUAAAAUAAAAGAAAAAAAAACAAGAGUAAUUGUUAAUUAUCAAAAUUUUGUUUAUACUAUUCCACCAAGAAAAUUAUACAAAAAAAAAAAUUUUAAAAAUUGGAGAAGAAAUAUGAGGUGAAAUACGUGGAUGGCUUAGACUAAUAAUGUGAACAAAUUCCUCUUGGAAGCAUGUCAUUGUUCAUCCGGACAACACGCGGCGAUGAGAUUCGAGAAUAAAAGGAUAGGAAUCAACUGUAACCUCAUAAACAAAUGGCCUUGGAGUUGUAACCAAAGCUUUUAAUUAUUGAUCAUUAAGAUCGAUAUAAAGUAUCACGAAAUGAUGUGUACGACGACAAUAUCAAUAGCGUAGUGUGAAGACCUGGCUGUAAACACAAGGCUCGGCAGAUUAAUUAAACAAGAGUAUCCGAAUUUUCUAUGAUAAUCUCUAGGAAACGAUCAGCUAUAAUGUACGAAAUUAAAAUAUUGCAUAUAUUUUUGAAUUUUUGAACUCAUGCAUUAAUUUAAAAAAUUAUAUCGUAUUAUAAUUUAUUCACAAAAGAAAGAAAAAUUCACUAAUCAAGUGAAAUCGUAUUCUUAUUGAAAUGAAUUCCAGUAAUUGGAUAAAUAUAAGUAUUUCUUCCGUUGUAAUUUUUGUUUAACAGAAAAUCUAUUUGAGAUUUUGUGAGAAGAAACUCAACAAUAAAGUUUGAUAGACUUUGUGGAUAUUAAGAGUUUGACAAGUAAUUGAAAUCUGAAGUUUACUGAAAUUUACGAGCAAACAAACUGAAAUCCGAAGUUUACUGAAGUUUACUAUCAAGAGUUUCAAAACAGUGAAAAAGAUGAUAUAGUUGAUGACAAAAACCUGAGUUAUCCAUAGCGACAAGUAACAUACUGAAGUAAGCCGUUGGGAGCUGGCCUGUUCAUGGGCUAUUUUUCUCUGAUGAUCUGCAUUUUUCUUCCUUUUAAAGUGAACCUUGACUCGUAUCAAACCUGUCAAAAGAACAGUUCAUCAACUGAGCUGAGAUUUGCUUUCCUUUUUCAAAACCCACCUGAGAUAUUGUAAUUCCCAAAUUUCUCUCUCUCAGCUACACGAGCAAGCAGCCGCUUUUUCACUUCAUCGAAGAAGGUAAGCGAUUUAUCUAUUUCGUCCGAUUGAUUUCUUGUUUCGUUUUCAGUGUUCGGGUAAAUUAUUGGCAUGCCUGACUUUUUGACCAUUACAUGAUUCAUAAAUUUCUAUUAAUUUUGAUUUUGAGUUGACUGGUUACUUUUAUAGGUUUGUUUACUUUGACUAGGUGACCAAUUUCUUGUAACUAAAUUUAUGACGUGAUGCAGGAAGCUCGGCAGGAUAUGAAAUGAGAAUCUUAUUAGUGGAAGGAUUGCCAGUAACAGAACCCAAAGAAAAUGAAACCAUUUCAAGGCAGCAGUUGGCAGUUGGGAGUGGAUGGAGGCCCCUGACAAAACUUCAGUAAACUUCAGAUUUCAGUUUGUUUGCUCGAAACUUGCAUGGUGACAAGGAUACUGGCAAGGAUAAUGAGAUAGUUUUUGUGUGAAUGAAAUUACGAUCAUCCUCAGCCUUAGUUGUUAUUUGUUACCUAAUUAAGAAGCAUAAAGUAUCCUGAAUCAUUUUCGUUGUCUGGAACAUAUGAGUGUAAUGAUUGUAAUUUCUGUUUUCUGUCUGUCAUCGAAUGUAAGACAACUUUAUUAAGAUUCUUGAACCGAGUCAUUUUUGACAAUUGAAGGACAAGUGCUGAAGAGUGGGAAUGCAAAAAGUUUUGUUGUUUCUAGCCUUGUUUUCUUUGAACCAGCGCCUGAUGAUAUAACAGAAACAAGGCUAGAAACAACAAAAACUCUGUCCACUACUGAUGAUAUAACAACGAACCUUUGUUUUUUUCUUUUUUCUUUUUUUUUUUAAAAAAAGUAACAAAAUAUCAUUAGAGAAAUGAAAAUAUUAUCUAACAUCACCCUACUGAUGAUAUGAAAAUAUGUAUGUAUGUAUGUAUGUAUAUACGUAUGUAUGUACAUAUAUACAUACACCUAUGUAACAUUUAAUUAUACAUUCUUUUGAGUUUAAAUCUUAAUACACAUUUUCAUGAAAUUUUUAUUUUAUUAAGUAUACAACUACAUACAACUACAUUAAUGUAUAUAUUUUUUACAUAAGACAUGCCGUCCUAUUAUUCAUAAGUCAACAAUGUGUUGUAAAUAGUGUUCGUGUCUCAAAGUUGACUUUUCGUCUUUUAUUUUCAGACGCAGACGAUAUGUCAUUUUAUACACAGCAGAAUUGGUGUUAUCUGAUUUUGUGAUGCAAUAAGAUUUGCACUUCCUGUGCACUCAAUGGAAUCAUUUCUUUGUAACUAAUUGGGUGCUGGAAUGGUGGUCAAAUCUCGAACGAAGACAGAUCUAUCAAACUCCAGAAUUGGUGUUAUCUGAUUAAUUGAUUGAUCGAAUUUU